This 492-nucleotide ribosomal RNA is filed under the name uncultured bacterium. RNAcentral's name for it is "partial 16S ribosomal RNA". It matches the Rfam family "Bacterial small subunit ribosomal RNA", at positions 29 to 507 of the family's 1533-position model. The record is from RNAcentral.
AGUGAACGCUGGCGGUAGGCCUAACACAUGCAAGUCGAACGGCAGCACAGUAAGAGCUUGCUCUUACGGGUGGCGAGUGGCGAACGGGUGAGGAAUACAUCGGAAUCUACUUUUUCGUGGGGGAUAACGUAGGGAAACUUACGCUAAUACCGCAUACGACCUACGGGUGAAAGCAGGGGAUCUUCGGACCUUGCGCGAUUGAAUGAGCCGAUGUCGGAUUAGCUAGUUGGCGGGGUAAAGGCCCACCAAGGCGACGAUCCGUAGCUGGUCUGAGAGGAUGAUCAGCCACACUGGAACUGAGACACGGUCCAGGCUCCUACGGGAGGCAGCAGUGGGGAAUAUUGGACGAUGGGCGCAAGCCUGAUACAGCCAUACCGCGUGGGUGAAGAAGGCCUUCGGGUUGUAAAGCCCUUUUGUUGGGAAAGAAAAGCAGCAGGUUAAUACCCCGCUGUUCUGACGGUACCCAAAGAAUAAGCACCGGCUAACUUCGUG